Molecule: long non-coding RNA, 1958 nt
Filed under: Homo sapiens (human)
Lineage: Eukaryota; Metazoa; Chordata; Mammalia; Primates; Hominidae
Description: HSALNT0246470
Source: RNAcentral
GCCUGCGCAUGCCUGUUCCCGCUCCCUGGUGCCCCGGGCGCCUGCCUGUCCCGGCUCCCAUGGGUGCUGGGUGUGUGGAAGCUCCGGCCCCCUCGGGCUGGGUUCAUUGGGGUCCUCCUGUGUGGUCAGUGGACUCUGUACCCCCACAGCACCUGAGGGGUGGCUGACACUGCUUUCCCAGCUGCUGCAGGGGCUCAGGGAACACAGGUGACCCCACGUCUCUACCGAGAAUGAGCACACCAACACCUCUCAGAAGACAGCUGCAGCCUGCAGAGGCCAUGGACCCCACCCAGGCCCACGGUGUGGACGGCUCUGCCCUGGUCUCUGCUGAGCCAGGCCCAGAGGGGACCCCAGAUGUGUGUAGAGCAGCAACCACGCCGGGCUGGGACCCCGCGGCCGAGGCGUCUGCUGGAAGGAGUCUCUGAGGUCACCAACCACGCCGGGCUGGGGCCCUGCGACCGAGGCAUCUGCGGGAAGGAGUCUCUGAGGUCACUCCUGCCCACAGGUGCACGUCUGUGCACCCGCCCACUCCUGCAUACACACGAACACACCUGUGCAUGUAUACACCGCACCCCACACACCCCUGCACACUCGUGAGGGCAUGCUCUCACACACAAACAUGCACUCGCAAUAGGCCUCCAGGGCUGGGGCCGGCCGUGGAGCUGGACCGAGGGAGGGAGCUUGCUGGGGUGGCCCAGGUAUAGCCCCUGGCCCGGCCUCAGCCCACCCGGCAGACUCUCAGCUGAAGGAGGACGCGGGUUGCCGUCGGGAUGCCGUGUGCAACAUCCCAACUCCACAGAUCAGAAGAUGGAGGCAGAGCCGAUUGGAGGAGGAGGGUCGGGAGGCCUCAGGAAUUGCUAAAGGGCCAGCCAUGGUUCUCAGUUCUUCCCAGCAACCAGUCCAGAGACCAGGCCAAUGGCAGGGCCCCUUUGCGGGCUUGGCUGAUUUGAUGGUACAAAAGCACGAGCGUCCGUGCAGACUGAAGUGACCACCAGGGGGUGCUAUUGGCACACAGCAAGUUGGCGCCCAAAUCCAGAGCCUAGAAAUUGAUCCUGCUGCCUCCGGGCUGCUCUGCCGCACCCACAGGUGCCCAGGGAUGCCAGGCGCCUGCCCCAAGCCAUGUGGGGGUGGCACAGGUGCACCCGGAAGCCCCCAGUUUCCAUAAUCUUCCCUCCCUGCCAGGAGGCGUGUGGGUUCGCCAAGUCCUGCUUCCAGUGCCUGCUUCUCCAGUCUCAGAUCUCAGCGAGCACACCAGGGGUAUGGGAGGCCUCACACCCAGGGGCUGUUGCAGCCACGCCGCUUCCUGUGUGUGGGCGCUGUGCAUGGCAGGGUGGACACGACACCACCUCCCAGUUGUCAUGGGCAGAGCCCCUUUCCUUGGACAGAACCCCUGGUGCCCACCCCUAGGAGGUAGGAUCCAGACCAGUGGGCAGAGGAGGGGGAGGCCAUGCUCCUUUGGGGCCAUUUGUGUGCCUGGCGGUGGCCCCCAUUGUGUCCCCAAGUGGGGUUUAUGGUGUUGCCGAGGGCUGUGGGGGGCACGCCCAGUAUCUGGAGCUUCUGGGUUGAUUUGAGGGUUGUUCUGUGUGUCCAGGCCAUGUGGGUUGGGCCACGGCCUGUGGCUAGGGUCUUUAUGGAGCAGGAUUGAGCCACAUGUGGACAGGGUCCCUGUGGAGUAGGAUUGAGGCCCCCUAAUCUCCCAGCUCAUUCUGCACAACUUUGGUUUUGCUCUGAUUUAAAAAUGAACAGAUUAAACUGAAGUAAAUAUUUCAAGCUGUUUUUAACAAAAAAAAGGUGUUAUUCAUCAUGCACAGUGCCCUCACUCAGAUGACAGACAGCAAUGAGCUUGGCUCUGCGGGGGCAGGCAGCUGGUGGCUGAGGGUGAGGCCAGCAUGACAUGGCUCUGAUUUACCCAAAAUGUUUAAUACUUGCCAUUUUUUUCUUAGUCUCAUUUAAUGUCU